RNAcentral lists this transfer RNA (71 nucleotides) under Toxocara canis (dog roundworm). It matches the Rfam family "tRNA". Rfam says of the family: Transfer RNA (tRNA) molecules are approximately 80 nucleotides in length. Their secondary structure includes four short double-helical elements and three loops (D, anti-codon, and T loops). Further hydrogen bonds mediate the characteristic L-shaped molecular structure. tRNAs have two regions of fundamental functional importance: the anti-codon, which is responsible for specific mRNA codon recognition, and the 3' end, to which the tRNAs corresponding amino acid is attached (by aminoacyl-tRNA synthetases). tRNAs cope with the degeneracy of the genetic code in two manners: having more than one tRNA (with a specific anti-codon) for a particular amino acid; and 'wobble' base-pairing, i.e. permitting non-standard base-pairing at the 3rd anti-codon position. The record is from Rfam by way of RNAcentral. Lineage: Eukaryota; Metazoa; Nematoda; Chromadorea; Rhabditida; Toxocaridae.
GCGGCAGUAGCUCAGUGGUAGAGCCCGCGCUUUACAUGCGGGCAGAUCUGGUUCGAUUCCCGGCUGCUUCC